Suricata suricatta (meerkat) is the source of this 655-nucleotide long non-coding RNA. RefSeq lists it as uncharacterized. The record is from RefSeq and is a predicted model, not a curated record. The transcript is spliced from 3 exons. Lineage: Eukaryota; Metazoa; Chordata; Mammalia; Carnivora; Herpestidae.
GCUGCUUGCCAUCCUUAGCAGACCCUUAGAUGACGUCAGAGAAACAACAUUGGAAAGAGUGCAUCUGUGCCCUAACUGGGAGGCCACUUUAACUUAGAAUGGAAGUAAGCGUUCAACUUGACAUGUUUUUGAAAGCAUUUUUCUUAAUGAUUCAUUGGGAUGUAAAGUGCAGUUGAAAAGCUUUUUAGGAUGGGGUCCCAACCAAGCAUGAUGGAAGGUUUGAUGGCAGUGAAUCUCAAAAUUUGCACACACAGCAUGGUGGAGGUAAAUUGGGAAAUUCAAUUCAGCUCUAGUAUUCAGGGUCAAGAAGCUGAUGAUGCCAUACUGAGAGGCUCCCCCACAAAUUUGUGAGGUUUUGAGGACUUUUCUAAGCACAUAGCUAUUUGUGGGAAAUUGACUUGUGUAUUCUAGGCCAAAGAACAAAAAGCAUCUCCAUUAUGAGAAUCCAAAACAUCUUUUUAUUUUAUCCAAACAUUUGUUUUAAAUACAUUCAUUACAAAGACUACAGUGAAGCGAAGUAAGCUUGCCUCUGAUGACACCUCACCCCUUUUCAGACACCUUCACUCAGAGUCGUUGUAUUUUCUAUCUCCAGCACAAUCUCCCUGCACUCCGAGUGCUCAAGGUUACACCAAGUAAAAUCUCCUUUUUGUCCUUA